GAUGAAGAACGCAGCGAAAUGCGAUAAGUAAUGUGAAUUACAGAAUUCAGUGAAUCAUCGAAUCUUUGAACGCACAUUGCGCCCCUCGGUAUUCCGAGGGGCAUGCCUGUUCGAGCGUCAUUAUAACCCUUCAAGCUCAGCUUGGUGUUGGGGCCUGCUGUAACUGGUAGCCCUUAAAAUCAGUGGCAGUGCUAUUAGGCUCUAAGCGUAGUAAUUCUUCUCGCUAUAGUGUGUAGUGAGCGCUUGCCAGAACCCCAAACUUUUAUAUGAUUGACCUCGGAUCAGGUAGGGAUACCCGCUGAACUUAAGCAUAUCAAUAAGCGGAGGA
Molecule: unclassified non-coding RNA, 328 nt
Filed under: soil metagenome
Description: partial contains 5.8S ribosomal RNA, internal transcribed spacer 2, and large subunit ribosomal RNA
Rfam family: 5.8S ribosomal RNA (bases 1-120)
Source: RNAcentral